GCUCGGGUCUCCGGGGCUGAGUUAGGACCCCGCGCGCGCGCAUACCUGCUACUACUGUGAGGGGAACAGCGUGAAUGCCCUUCCUCUCCCGGCCUUUCCCUCCAGGCAGUUACGACAGGCCAUUAGAGGUUAUUUACAUUCAAUAGUUACACCUGCCACACCUGUAAAGUCUUCUAAUUUGCGUGAAAUGUCUUCAAUCCACUCUUCUAUAGAAGCAAAGGAGCAUUCUUUAGCACCCUUGUGGGAUCUCAGUUCCCAGACCAGGGAUCAAACCCAGGCUCCUGGCAGUGAGAGUGAUGAGUCCUAACCACUGGACUGCCAGGGAAUUCCCUGUUUUCUAGGGAAACUAAUAAGGGUGUGUUGGCGAUGGUUUACUUUAUUUAAUGCCUAAAUGUGGACUAUCAGGACAAUAUUAUGACUGAAAUAGAGAGGAGUGACCAUCACCAAGUGAUCCUGGACUUGGAGCUGGAUGCAGGAACUGAUGAGACUUUGGAUCUCCCCUUUUGGGGAGGCAUGUUGAACAGCAGUUGCUGAAGUGAUUUUGAUGAAAUAUGACCUUUGAAGACUGUGGCCACUGACCAAAGAAUCUGAACUACAGUUUCCAACAUUUUACAGGCUACAAAACAUAAGCUGGCCAGCAUUUAUUGCUUGUACUAACAGCUUGAGUCAAGUUUCCUAAGCCUACAGAGAAGACCUCUUACUGCUGCUAAUUUUACUAUCAGCAAAGAAAAGGGAAAUAGGAAACCAUAUGGAAUGGCUGAACGAGAGCAUUUGUGAGAGCAGUAUGAACUCGGAUUAUCCGAAGAGAGGGCAACGUUUUUCUAAAACUAAAAAGGACUCAAUUUGCAUAGAAAUAAAGUGGGGAAAAAAUGUAAUGUAGAAAAAGUUAUAAGCAGAGAUUCUGCUCUGGCCUCUCAGGAUGGCAUUGAUUUACAUAUUAAGGCAGUCACCAGGGAAAUGUUAAAAACCCUCUAGGGAAAUUUCCAAUGUGAUGGAUAGAACUUUAAUAUUAAUAUAGGAUUCAUCAUGAUAAUGUAAGUCAUAGAUCUAAGUCUCCCUUCAUCAAAUGAAUAGUCCCUUUCCAGCCUAUUAUACAGGCAGCACAUGCUUUAAAUAGUGUCAUGUGGGAGACUUGAAGUCUUUCUUUACCUGCAGUUUCUGAAGUUUUGUUCACAGGAAUAGUGACCCACCGGGUCAUCCAUCUUUAAUUACAUCAUCUAGACCAUUUGCAUUUUCCCCUUUUUAUUAAUAUUUAGUGUUCCUUAAAAUAUACUUCCAUCAUACUUUUUUUCACAAAUAGAAAAAGCAUAAUUCAACACAUACUAUUUCAUACAUGCAGUGACUAUGAAGGGAAGAUCUGAUUCUUAAUCUAUUCGUUGAUCAUUAUACAAGGAAAAAAGUGAUUUCUGGGUUGCUAUUUGAUUUAGUUAUCUAGUACAUAAUUAUCAACCAUAUGCAUGUGUAUUGUUCAUCUUACUCAGGGUUUCCUAGUCUUCUAACACUGACACCCCACAAAAUGGUGGCUGAGUCUCUCUAGAAUCCUAUAAGACAAUGACAAUAUUUUUGGAAUGAGAAUGAUUGCAGUGUUGAUACCAAUAUAAUAAAUGCCAGUAAUAAUAAAUGUUAAGAUUCAUCUGCUGCUUUUUUCAGCAGAAAUUCGAAUAUUCAUUAGUGGAGCAUAUAAUCACUUUUUCUUACUUUAGCCCAAAACACACAUGAAAAUAAAUUCAUAAGUACAGACUAUGAAUACAGACAUAAAUUGUGUACACAGACAAGUAGACCCUCAAGUUCUACAAGGAAGAGGGGGCUUUCCUUAAGCCUGGAAUCACUGCACUAUGUCUUUAAAUUCGUGAUGUGCAUUGGUUUCAUUCUAUUCCAUUUCUCCGCUCAUGAAGUAACCAAUGUCAACAUUUGGGGUAUCAUUUCAUGUAUUUAGUUGGUAUCCAUUUUGGGGUGUAAAGGUUCUGAAAAGUCCUGCUGUAAAGAAAAUUAUUUAAUGGGUAGACUCUAGCAUUCCUAACUUUCUUUUGACCUAACUUUCUUUUGAUCUUAUUUUUCAAAUAAGAUCUAUAAACACAUUUGGAAAUGCUGGCCUAGUGGAGGUGUUCAUAAACUGGGCCUCCUCGAUUUUUUUUUUUUUUUUUGGCUGCGUUGGGUCUUCGUUGCUGCACGUGGGCUUUCUCUAGUUGCAUCCAGUGGGGGCUACUCUUCGUUGCACGUGCUUCUCAUUAAGGUGGCUUCUCUUGUGGAGCACAGGCUCUAGGAGCGCGGGCUUCAGUAGCUGUGGCUUGCGGGCUCUAGAGCGCAGGCUCAGUAGUUGUGGUGUGCGGGCUUUGUUGCUCCGUGGCAUGUGGGAUUUUCCCAGGCCAGGGCUCAAACCCGUGUUCCCCCAUUGACAGGCGGAUUCUUAACCACUGCGCCACCAGGGAAGCCCACCUCCUGGAUUUUUUUUUUUUUUUUUGCGGUUCGCGGGCUUCUCACUGCUGUGGCCUCUCCCGUUGUGGAGCACAGCUCCGGACGCGCUGGCUCGGCCAUUGCUCACGGGCCCAGCCGCUCCGCGGCAUGUGGGAUCUUCCCGGACCGGGGCACGAACCCGUGUCUCCUGCAUCAGCAGGCGGACUCUCAACCACUGCGCCACCAGGGAAGCCCCACCUCCUCGAUUUUUAAGCUUUGGUUUUCACUGGGAACUUUGAGAUGAACUCCUAUUCAUCCUUUAAGUUCUGACUCAGAUGUCACUUCCUCCGUGAAGAUUUCUCCACUUGCCCUAGAAUGAAUAUGUAAAUCUUCCCUUCGCCCCCUACCCCCAUAGCAAUUUUUUCAAGUCCAUAUCAGUGUUUAGAUCAUGAGUUAUUUAUUUUUAAUUUCCCCCCUCUAGUCUACAAUUUCCUUUAUUUUAAGGACUGUGUUUUUACUCUCAGUGUCCUACAGAACACCUGGCUCAUUGUAAGAGUUCAACAAAUAACUGCUGAAGGAAUGAAUGAGUGCUAAAAUCUGCCGUGCAGGCAACCGUCUAGCUACUCAUGGAAGCACAAAAUGUCUAUUGAACCAACUCCUUGACAAAUAAAAAGAUAGGAGGAAGAAAAAUAUGAGCAUGAAGGAACUGCUCUGUGAAUUUGGGGUUAAAGCAUCUGUGGAACAAGAAUAAACAAAUCAGCGCCCGAAGAUUGGACCUACUUCAUUAGCAUGUUGCCUAAAAAGUAAGCUCGAAGUCAUGGAUUUUGGUCUAUUUUAUUCACUGCAGUAUCCUCAGGACCAAGAACAGGCCAGGUCAUAUGGGAGGUACUCAAUGAAGAGAUUGAAGCACAGAGAAGUGAAAUCACUUGUCCAAGGUCACACAACUGAUUACCUCCUGGGACUUUUAAAAAAUGCCCCAAUUAAAGGAAAGCUCCAAGGGUCUAGCAUUUAUCAUCCCAGGACAACUGAGAAGAAGAAAGAGAAGGAAAGAAAAGAAAAGAAAAGAACAACAACCUUCAAAUAAUA
Long non-coding RNA from Orcinus orca (killer whale), 3480 nucleotides. RefSeq lists it as uncharacterized. NCBI's taxonomy places the organism in Eukaryota, Metazoa, Chordata, Mammalia, Artiodactyla, Delphinidae. The record is from RefSeq and is a predicted model, not a curated record. The transcript is spliced from 10 exons.